Molecule: ribosomal RNA, 774 nt
Filed under: Vibrio harveyi
Lineage: Bacteria; Pseudomonadati; Pseudomonadota; Gammaproteobacteria; Vibrionales; Vibrionaceae
Description: bacterial SSU rRNA
Rfam family: Bacterial small subunit ribosomal RNA
Source: RNAcentral
GGGGGCCUACCAUGCAGUCGAGCGGAAACGAGUUAUCUGAACCUUCGGGGAACGAUAACGGCGUCGAGCGGCGGACGGGUGAGUAAUGCCUAGGAAAUUGCCCUGAUGUGGGGGAUAACCAUUGGAAACGAUGGCUAAUACCGCAUAAUACCUACGGGUCAAAGAGGGGGACCUUCGGGCCUCUCGCGUCAGGAUAUGCCUAGGUGGGAUUAGCUAGUUGGUGAGGUAAUGGCUCACCAAGGCGACGAUCCCUAGCUGGUCUGAGAGGAUGAUCAGCCACACUGGAACUGAGACACGGUCCAGACUCCUACGGGAGGCAGCAGUGGGGAAUAUUGCACAAUGGGCGCAAGCCUGAUGCAGCCAUGCCGCGUGUGUGAAGAAGGCCUUCGGGUUGUAAAGCACUUUCAGUCGUGAGGAAGGUAGUGUAGUUAAUAGCUGCAUUAUUUGACGUUAGCGACAGAAGAAGCACCGGCUAACUCCGUGCCAGCAGCCGCGGUAAUACGGAGGGUGCGAGCGUUAAUCGGAAUUACUGGGCGUAAAGCGCAUGCAGGUGGUUUGUUAAGUCAGAUGUGAAAGCCCGGGGCUCAACCUCGGAAUAGCAUUUGAAACUGGCAGACUAGAGUACUGUAGAGGGGGGUAGAAUUUCAGGUGUAGCGGUGAAAUGCGUAGAGAUCUGAAGGAAUACCGGUGGCGAAGGCGGCCCCCUGGACAGAUACUGACACUCAGAUGCGAAAGCGUGGGGAGCAAACAGGAUUAGAUACCCGGGUAGUCAAA